UUUUGUCUUCGUUCGUUUUCCUCUUUUCCAUUUAGUUUCUUCUUCGUUCCUUCAUACACAGCUGCCCUCUGCCAAAACCUCUCUCUCAGUCUCCCUCUCUGCAGCUCUUCUCUCAGCCUCUCUUCAAUCGCCGCCGUCACGCAGCAAAAUCAGAGAUCCCAUUCGCUCCCAGCUUCCAACAAUCGCAGCUUCCACCUAUUCAUCUGAUAUAGCUCUCUCUGUCUCUCUCUCAGAUAUUAUGAGUUCAUCUACACCUAGCACCACAGCUCCAGCUACUCUUCAAUGUUAGGAGGAAUUUAAUGAAGUUGGAUUGAAUUUGGGUUGUAAUAUAUAUUUGGAUUGAAUUUGGGUUGUAUUUGGCUUGUGAUUUAUUUUGGAACUUAUUUUGUUGAAGUUUAAUUGAAUUUGGGUUGUAAUUUAUAUGUUGAAGUUGGAUUGAAUUUGAA
This is a long non-coding RNA of Prunus avium (sweet cherry), 446 nucleotides long. RefSeq lists it as uncharacterized. Lineage: Eukaryota; Viridiplantae; Streptophyta; Magnoliopsida; Rosales; Rosaceae. The record is from RefSeq and is a predicted model, not a curated record.